RNAcentral lists this long non-coding RNA (600 nucleotides) under Gallus gallus (chicken). RNAcentral's name for it is "long non-coding RNA NONGGAT004043". Lineage: Eukaryota; Metazoa; Chordata; Aves; Galliformes; Phasianidae. The record is from RNAcentral.
GAAAGGAGGGAUGUUAAUCUAGGGUGGAGUGGGUAAAAGCUUAAAGAAAUAUGAUGAAAAGUAAUCCAGUGCUCAACAAGGGCAUCAGCAGCAAGAAUCCAGCCUCUGCUGCUCCAGAGGAUUAAGAUGGGGAAAGCCACAGAACUGCAGUCGAGUUGCACCUCAGCGUUGUUCUGGAGAUGGAUAAACAAGGACAUGAUGUGGCCUGCUGCUACUUUCUGCUUGCCUGAUUGCCUGCUAAAGUCCAUUCCUCUUGGCACUGCUUACACCAGCUCCAGCUGCUCCACGUUGCUUUACAGUAUCAACAUCUACCUCCUCAAAUUUGGAAGACUGGUCACCCUUUGUAGUACUGCUGUGUGGAUGAAUCUUAAUCUUCUUGAAAGUAGGAUAUUAAAGAUGAGAUAAGCCCUGGUAUCUAGAAGUAGUAUAUACUGCAGUCCUAUGAGACACAUAGAUAGAUAGCCAGAUAUAAUCUUUCUCCACUGGAUAUCUUGUCCUUAGAACUAUUACCCUGGAAACACUCCUUAAUAUUUCAAAUCACAUACCCCUUUUCUUAGGUAUAUUCUAUUUAUCAGACAUAGCCUAGCUACAGAAUGGCCA